AUGUACAGAAGAGAAAAACUUGUUGUCGGAGUAUAUGUGGAUGAUCUUAUAAUCACAGGACCAAGCUCAACUGAAAUAGAAAAAUUUAAGGAGCAAAUGAAGAACAUGUUCAGUAUGAGUGACUUGGGGCUCCUGAGUUAUUAUCUUGGCAUAGAAGUGAAGCAACUGCCAAAUGGAAUUUUUCUGAAUCAAUCCAGUUAUGCGGGCAAGAUCUUAGAGAAAAGUGAGAUGAUUGACUGUUACUCUGCUCAAACCCCCAUGGAAGCCCGCCUGCACUUGAGCAAGUCCAGCACCUGCAAGCCAGUUGAUCCAACAAUGUAUCGCAGUAUUAUUGGGAGCCUGAGGUACCUGACACAUACUCGUCCUGAUAUAACUUAUGCAGUGGGCAUAGUUAGCAGGUAUAUGGAGAAGCCUGCUGCAGAUCAUUUGGCUGCUGUUAAGCGCAUCCUGCGGUACAUAAAAGGUACUUUGAACCUUGGUUGUUUCUAUGGAAGAGAAGAGGGAAUGACCAUGCAGCUGUGUGGAUACAGUGAUAGUGAUCAUGGUGGUGAUGUGGACGAUCGAAAGAGCACCUCUGGAGUAUUAUUCUACCUCAACUCGAGCCCUGUGAGUUGGACAUCACAGAAGCAGAAAGUAGUUGCGAUAUCUUCUUGUGAAGCAGAGUAUGUUGCUGUGCUUCGGGCGCCUGUCAGGCAAUGUGGCUGA
This 705-nucleotide ribosomal RNA is filed under the name Triticum aestivum (bread wheat). Its description in RNAcentral is "partial small subunit ribosomal RNA". The record is from RNAcentral. Lineage: Eukaryota; Viridiplantae; Streptophyta; Magnoliopsida; Poales; Poaceae.